GAUGAACGCUGGCGGCGUGCCUAAUACAUGCAAGUCGAGCGAACGGACGAGAAGCUUGCUUCUCUGCUGUUAGCGGCGGACGGGUGAGUAACACGUGGAUAACCUACUUAUAAGACUGGGAUAACUUCGGGAAACCGUAGCUAAUACCGGAUAAUAUUUUGAACCGCAUGGUUCAAAAGUGAAAGACGGUCUUGCUGUCACUUAUAGAUGGAUCCGCGCUGCAUUAGCUAGUUGGUAAGGUAGCGGCUUACCAAGGCAACGAUGCAUAGCCGACCUGAGAGGGUGAUCGGCCACACUGGAACUGAGACACGGUCCAGACUCCUACGGGAGGCAGCAGUAGGGAAUCUUCCGCAAUGGGCGAAAGCCUGACGGAGCAACGCCGCGUGAGUGAUGAAGGUCUUCGGAUCGUAAAACUCUGUUAUUAGGGAAGAACAUAUGUGUAAGUAACUGUGCACAUCUUGACGGUACCUAAUCAGAAAGCCACGGCUAACUACGUG
This 497-nucleotide ribosomal RNA is filed under the name uncultured bacterium. RNAcentral describes it as "partial 16S ribosomal RNA". It matches the Rfam family "Bacterial small subunit ribosomal RNA", at positions 28 to 507 of the family's 1533-position model. The record is from RNAcentral.